Molecule: ribosomal RNA, 499 nt
Filed under: uncultured bacterium
Lineage: Bacteria
Description: bacterial SSU rRNA
Rfam family: Bacterial small subunit ribosomal RNA
Source: RNAcentral
GAUGAACGCUAGCGGCAGGCCUAAUACAUGCAAGACGAACGGUAAGUUGAGUAGCAAUACUUAGCCAAGAGUGUCGUACGGGUGCGUAACACGUAUGCAACCUACCCUAUACAGGAGGAUAGCCUAGGGAAACCUGGAUUAACCCUUCAUAGUAUUAUUGGAUGGCAUCAUUUGAUAAUUAAAACUGAGGUAGUAUAGGAUGGGCAUGCGUCUGAUUAGUUAGUUGGCGGGGUAAUGGCCCACCAAGACGAUGAUCAGUAGGGGUUCUGAGAGGAAGAUCCCCCACACUGGCACUGAGAUACGGGCCAGACUCCUACGGGAGCAGCAGUAGGGAAUAUUGGUCAAUGGAUGCAAGUCUGAACCAGCCAUGCCGCGUGCAGGAAGAAGGCCUUCUGGGUUGUAAACUGCUUUUGCCAGGGGAUAAAAUUUCCAUGCGUGGAAAACUGAAGGUACCUGGUGAAUAAGCCACGGCUAACUACGUGCCAGCAGCCGCGGUAAU